AUGGCCAUCCCAGCAGUUUUUGUGGAGUGGGUGCUGGAGAAAAAUGGAUCUUCAUGGACCGUCAGCACCGCCGAAGAGGAUAUAUCCAGCCCCACUCCCGACCCAGAGACCAGCCAGCCACCAUCACGCCGCACGGAGCCAGAGCCCGAGCCAAUCACUGACAGGGAGCAGGACCUCGAGAACGCGACUGACCAGGUGUGCGAGCUGUCAACACCGUGCAUCGUGAGAGUCCUCGUGGAGAUCGAGGGCAUGGAGCAAAGCCCUGCCCACAUUCCUGCGACUGAGGGUGAGCUGUAUGCGAUCUUGGGAAAAAACAUGGAGCAACUUAUGGAUCUGAUGGACUGGUCUAUGGAGGUAAUCCCUAAUUUUCCUGUUUCUCCGCUGGUUCCGUCCAGCCCUGAUUCCCCUGUAUACCCUCUCAGUCUCCCACUCUUACCUCCUCCAGCCAUUUCCUCUGCUCCAUUUCCACUGGUUCCAUCCAGCUAUGAAUUUUCUGUAUUUCCACUGGUUCCGCCCAGCCCUGAGUUUUCUGUUUCUCCGCUGGUUCCGCCCAGCUCUGAAUCUUCUGUGUCUCCUGUGUUCCCUCCCGGCCUCCCUCUCCCACCUCCUCAUGGACCUGCUGGUCCCUCUGCUCCACUUCCGCUGGUUCUGUCCAGCCCUGAUCCUCCUGUCCUUCCUCCCAUCCUUCCUCUCUCUCCUCCUCCUAGACCAGCCAGUUCCUCGUCAUCCCUGCUGGUGCCAGUCAGUCCCGCAGCUCACCCUCAGUCCACGGCAACUGGGCGCAACGGUUCGCCGCUGGACUGCCAGUCUCCAGCUCCACCUUGGCGAGUUAAGGCCCUGUCUCCGCCUCCAGCCUCUGAGCCCAGGACUCCUCCUCGGUCCUUCGACCCAGUGGCUCCGCCUUGGCUCUUAGCUCCCUCGUCUCCACCGUGGCCUGGCAUCCCACCUGCUCCACCGAACUCCCUCAUCCCUCCGGCUCCACCUUGGUCAGUCGUCGACCCUCCGCCACCUCGGGACUCCACUCCUCUGGUUCCACCUUGUCACUCUAUCCCUCCGGCUCUGUCAGGCUCCUCCUUCCCUCCGGUUCCACCUCCAUCCUCGGUCGCUCCGGCUCCACAGCGGUCUGCCAGGACCCCGCCUCCGUCGCCUGAGCCUUCUGCUCCACCUAGGCCCUCCGGAUCCUCGACGUCACCCCACGACGUCAGCUGUGCUGCUCCAUCUUGGGCUCCUCACCCACCCGUGCAGUCUCCGCCCGUCGGCCCCCUGGUGUCAUCGACCCCUCCUUCACCAUGGCUCCUCCCGCCGUUGACUCCACCAUGGAUCUCCAUCCUGGCUGGUCUCUAG
This 1344-nucleotide long non-coding RNA is filed under the name Carassius auratus (goldfish). RNAcentral's name for it is "lncRNA (ENSCARG00000021346.1)". Lineage: Eukaryota; Metazoa; Chordata; Actinopteri; Cypriniformes; Cyprinidae. The record is from RNAcentral.